GAUGAACGCUGGCGGCGUGCCUAAUACAUGCAAGUCGAGCGAACGGACGAGGAGCUUGCUUCUCUGAUGUUAGCGGCGGACGGGUGAGUAACACGUGGAUAACCUACCUAUAAGACUGGGAUAACUUCGGGAAACCGGAGCUAAUACCGGAUAAUAUUUUGAACCGCAUGGUUCAAAAGUGAAAGACGGUCUUGCUGUCACUUAUAGAUGGAUCCGCGCUGCAUUAGCUAGUUGGUAAGGUAACGGCUUACCAAGGCAACGAUGCAUAGCCGACCUGAGAGGGUGAUCGGCCACACUGGAACUGAGACACGGUCCAGACUCCUACGAGAGGCAGCAGUAGGGAAUCUUCCGCAAUGGGCGAAAGCCUGACGGAGCAACGCCGCGUGAGUGAUGAAGGUCUUCGGAUCGUAAAACUCUGUUAUUAGGGAAGAACAAAUGUGUAAGUAACUAUGCACGUCUUGACGGUACCUAAUCAGAAAGCCACGGCUAACUACGUGCCAGCAGCCGCGGUAAUACGUAGGUGGCAAGCGUUAUCCGGAAUUAUUGGGCGUAAAGCGCGCGUAGGCGGUUUUUUAAGUCUGAUGUGAAAGCCCACGGCUCAACCGUGGAGGGUCAUUGGAAACUGGAAAACUUGAGUGCAGAAGAGGAAAGUGGAAUUCCAUGUGUAGCGGUGAAAUGCGCAGAGAUAUGGAGGAACACCAGUGGCGAAGGCGACUUUCUGGUCUGUAACUGACGCUGAUGUGCGAAAGCGUGGGGAUCAAACAGGAUUAGAUACCCUGGUAGUCCACGCCGUAAACGAUGAGUGCUAAGUGUUAGGGGGUUUCCGCCCCUUAGUGCUGCAGCUAACGCAUUAAGCACUCCGCCUGGGGAGUACGACCGCGAGGUUGAAGCUCAAAGGAAUUGACGGGGACCCGCACAAGCGGUGGAGCAUGUGGUUUAAUUCGAAGCAACGCGAAGAACCUUACCAAAUCUUGACAUCCUUUGACAACUCUAGAGAUAGAGCCUUCCCCUUCGGGGGACAAAGUGACAGGUGGUGCAUGGUUGUCGUCAGCUCGUGUCGUGAGAUGUUGGGUUAAGUCCCGCAACGAGCGCAACCCUUAAGCUUAGUUGCCAUCAUUAAGUUGGGCACUCUAAGUUGACUGCCGGUGACAAACCGGAGGAAGGUGGGGAUGACGUCAAAUCAUCAUGCCCCUUAUGAUUUGGGCUACACACGUGCUACAAUGGACAAUACAAAGGGCAGCGAAACCGCGAGGUCAAGCAAAUCCCAUAAAGUUGUUCUCAGUUCGGAUUGUAGUCUGCAACUCGACUACAUGAAGCUGGAAUCGCUAGUAAUCGUAGAUCAGCAUGCUACGGUGAAUACGUUCCCGGGUCU
This 1372-nucleotide ribosomal RNA is filed under the name uncultured bacterium. RNAcentral describes it as "bacterial SSU rRNA". It matches the Rfam family "Bacterial small subunit ribosomal RNA", at positions 28 to 1381 of the family's 1533-position model. The record is from RNAcentral.